Molecule: ribosomal RNA, 582 nt
Filed under: uncultured Pseudomonadota bacterium
Lineage: Bacteria; Pseudomonadati; Pseudomonadota
Description: bacterial SSU rRNA
Rfam family: Bacterial small subunit ribosomal RNA
Source: RNAcentral
CUGAUGGAGGGGGAAACUACUGGAAACGGUAGCUAAUACCGCAUAACGUCGCAAGACCAAAGAGGGGGACCUUCGGGCCUCUNUGCCAUCGGAAAUGUGCCCAGAAUGGGAUUAGCNUAGUAGGUGGGGUAACGGCUCACCUAGGCGACGAUCCCUAGCUGGUCUGAGAGGAUGACCAGCCACACUGGAACUGAGACACGGUCCAGACUCCUACGGGAGGCAGCAGUGGGGAAUAUUGCACAAUGGGCGCAAGCCUGAUGCAGCCAUGCCGCGUGUAUGAAGAAGGCCUUCGGGUUGUAAAGUACUUUCAGCGGGGAGGAAGGGAGUAAAGUUAAUACCUUUGCUCAUUGACGUUACCCGCAGAAGAAGCACCGGCUAACUCCGUGCCAGCAGCCGCGGUAAUACGGAGGGUGCAAGCGUUAAUCGGAAUUACUGGGCGUAAAGCGCACGCAGGCGGUUUGUUAAGUCAGAUGUGAAAUCCCCGGGCUCAACCUGGGAACUGCAUCUGAUACUGGCAAGCUUGAGUCUCGUAGAGGGGGGUAGAAUUCCAGGUGUAGCGGUGAAAUGCGUAGAGAUCUGGAG